AUUGAACGCUGGCGGCAUGCUUUACACAUGCAAGUCGAACGGCAGCGCGGGCUUCGGCCUGGCGGCGAGUGGCGAACGGGUGAGUAAUGCAUCGGAACGUGCCCAGUAGUGGGGGAUAGCCCGGCGAAAGCCGGAUUAAUACCGCAUACGACCUGAGGGUGAAAGUGGGGGACCGAAAGGCCUCGCGCUAUUGGAGCGGCCGAUGUCGGAUUAGCUAGUUGGUGGGGUAAAGGCUUACCAAGGCGACGAUCCGUAGCUGGUCUGAGAGGACGACCAGCCACACUGGGACUGAGACACGGCCCAGACUCCUACGGGAGGCAGCAGUGGGGAAUUUUGGACAAUGGGGGCAACCCUGAUCCAGCCAUGCCGCGUGCGGGAAGAAGGCCUUCGGGUUGUAAACCGCUUUUGUUCGGGAAGAAAUCCUCUGGGCUAAUACCCCGGGGGGAUGACGGUACCGGAAGAAUAAGCACCGGCUAACUACGUG
This 484-nucleotide ribosomal RNA is filed under the name uncultured bacterium. RNAcentral's name for it is "partial 16S ribosomal RNA". It matches the Rfam family "Bacterial small subunit ribosomal RNA", at positions 28 to 507 of the family's 1533-position model. The record is from RNAcentral.